UUAAGCGACUAAGCGUACACGGUGGAUGCCCUGGCAGUCAGAGGCGAUGAAGGACGUGCUAAUCUGCGAAAAGCGUCGGUAAGGUGAUAUGAACCGUUAUAACCGGCGAUGUCCGAAUGGGGAAACCCAGUGCAAUUCGUUGCACUAUCGUUAACUGAAUACAUAGGUUAACGAGGCGAACCGGGGGAACUGAAACAUCUAAGUACCCCGAGGAAAAGAAAUCAACCGAGAUUCCCCCAGUAGCGGCGAGCGAACGGGGAGCAGCCCAGAGUCUGAAUCAGCUUGUGUGUUAGUGGAACGGUCUGGAAAGUCCGACGGUACAGGGUGAUAGUCCCGUACACCAAAAUGCACAGGCUGUGAACUCGAAGAGUAGGGCGGGACACGUGGUAUCCUGUCUGAAUAUGGGGGACCAUCCUCCAAGGCUAAAUACUCCUGACUGACCGAUAGUGAACCAGUACCGUGAGGGAAAGGCGAAAAGAACCCCGGCGAGGGGAGUGAAAAAGAACCUGAAACCGUGUACGUACAAGCAGUGGGAGCACCUUCGGGUGUGACUGCGUACCUUUUGUAUAAUGGGUCAGCGACUUAUAUUCUGUAGCAAGGUUAACCGUAUAGGGGAGCCGCAGGGAAACCGAGUCUUAACUGGGCGUUAAGUUGCAGGGUAUAGACCCGAAACCCGGUGAUCUAGCCAUGGGCAGGUUGAAGGUUGGGUAACACUAACUGGAGGACCGAACCGACUAAUGUUGAAAAAUUAGCGGAUGACUUGUGGCUGGGGUGAAAGGCCAAUCAAACCGGGAGAUAGCUGGUUCUCCCCGAAAGCUAUUUAGGUAGCGCCUCGUGAACUCAUCUUCGGGGUAGAGCACUGUUUCGGCUAGGGGGUCAUCCCGACUUACCAACCCGAUGCAAACUACGAAUACCGAAGAAUGUUAUCACGGGAGACACACGGCGGGUGCUAACGUCCGUCGUGAAGAGGGAAACAACCCAGACCGCCAGCUAAGGUCCCAAAGUCAUGGUUAAGUGGGAAACGAUGUGGGAAGGCACAGACAGCCAGGAUGUUGGCUUAGAAGCAGCCAUCAUUUAAAGAAAGCGUAAUAGCUCACUGGUCGAGUCGGCCUGCGCGGAAGAUGUAACGGGGCUAAACCAUGCACCGAAGCUGCGGCAGCGACACUAUGUGUUGUUGGGUAGGGGAGCGUUCUGUAAGCCUGCGAAGGUGUGCUGUGAGGCAUGCUGGAGGUAUCAGAAGUGCGAAUGCUGACAUAAGUAACGAUAAAGCGGGUGAAAAGCCCGCUCGCCGGAAGACCAAGGGUUCCUGUCCAACGUUAAUCGGGGCAGGGUGAGUCGACCCCUAAGGCGAGGCCGAAAGGCGUAGUCGAUGGGAAACAGGUUAAUAUUCCUGUACUUGGUGUUACUGCGAAGGGGGGACGGAGAAGGCUAUGUUAGCCGGGCGACGGUUGUCCCGGUUUAAGCAUGUAGGCUGGUUGUCCAGGCAAAUCCGGAUAAUCAAGGCUGAGGUGUGAUGACGAGGCACUACGGUGCUGAAGUAACAAAUGCCCUGCUUCCAGGAAAAGCCUCUAAGCAUCAGGUAACAUUAAAUCGUACCCCAAACCGACACAGGUGGUCAGGUAGAGAAUACCAAGGCGCUUGAGAGAACUCGGGUGAAGGAACUAGGCAAAAUGGUGCCGUAACUUCGGGAGAAGGCACGCUGGUGUGUAGGUGAAGUCCCUGCGGAUGGAGCUGAGACCAGUCGAAGAUACCAGCUGGCUGCAACUGUUUAUUAAAAACACAGCACUGUGCAAACACGAAAGUGGACGUAUACGGUGUGACGCCUGCCCGGUGCCGGAAGGUUAAUUGAUGGGGUUAUCCGUAAGGAGAAGCUCUUGAUCGAAGCCCCGGUAAACGGCGGCCGUAACUAUAACGGUCCUAAGGUAGCGAAAUUCCUUGUCGGGUAAGUUCCGACCUGCACGAAUGGCGUAAUGAUGGCCAGGCUGUCUCCACCCGAGACUCAGUGAAAUUGAACUCGCUGUGAAGAUGCAGUGUACCCGCGGCAAGACGGAAAGACCCCGUGAACCUUUACUAUAGCUUGACACUGAACAUUGAGCCUUGAUGUGUAGGAUAGGUGGGAGGCUUUGAAGCGUGGACGCCAGUCUGCGUGGAGCCAACCUUGAAAUACCACCCUUUAAUGUUUGAUGUUCUAACGUUGGCCCCUUACCGGGGUUGCGGACAGUGUCUGGUGGGUAGUUUGACUGGGGCGGUCUCCUCCCAAAGCGUAACGGAGGAGCACGAAGGUUAGCUAAUCCUGGUCGGACAUCAGGAGGUUAGUGCAAUGGCAUAAGCUAGCUUGACUGCGAGCGUGACGGCGCGAGCAGGUGCGAAAGCAGGUCAUAGUGAUCCGGUGGUUCUGAAUGGAAGGGCCAUCGCUCAACGGAUAAAAGGUACUCCGGGGAUAACAGGCUGAUACCGCCCAAGAGUUCAUAUCGACGGCGGUGUUUGGCACCUCGAUGUCGGCUCAUCACAUCCUGGGGCUGAAGUAGGUCCCAAGGGUAUGGCUGUUCGCCAUUUAAAGUGGUACGCGAGCUGGGUUUAGAACGUCGUGAGACAGUUCGGUCCCUAUCUGCCGUGGGCGCUGGAGAAUUGAGGGGGGCUGCUCCUAGUACGAGAGGACCGGAGUGGACGCAUCACUGGUGUUCGGGUUGUCAUGCCAAUGGCACUGCCCGGUAGCUAAAUGCGGAAGAGAUAAGUGCUGAAAGCAUCUAAGCACGAAACUUGCCCCGAGAUGAGUUCUCCCUGAGACUUUAAGUCUCCUGAAGGAACGUUAAAGACGAUGACGUUGAUAGGCCGGGUGUGUAAGCGCAGCGAUGCGUUGAGCUAACCGGUACUAAUGAACCGUGAGGCUUAACCUU
This 2897-nucleotide ribosomal RNA is filed under the name Klebsiella pneumoniae. Its description in RNAcentral is "23S ribosomal RNA". It matches the Rfam family "Bacterial large subunit ribosomal RNA". The record is from RNAcentral. Lineage: Bacteria; Pseudomonadati; Pseudomonadota; Gammaproteobacteria; Enterobacterales; Enterobacteriaceae.